This 492-nucleotide ribosomal RNA is filed under the name uncultured bacterium. RNAcentral describes it as "partial 16S ribosomal RNA". It matches the Rfam family "Bacterial small subunit ribosomal RNA", at positions 29 to 507 of the family's 1533-position model. The record is from RNAcentral.
AAUGAACGCUGGCGGCAUGCCUAACACAUGCAAGUCGAACGACAGCAUAGUGAGAGGUGGCUCCUAGGGGUGUCGCGUGUCGGAAGGUUGACUAAUGCAUCGGAUACCUCUCUGACGGGGGUGAUAACGUAGGGAAACUUCUGCUAACACCGCAUAUAUCGUACUGGUGUAAGCACGCGUUCUUUUAACUUUGUGCGAUGGUAUGAGCCGAUGUCGGCUUCGCUCGUUGGCUGGUCAAAGGCCCACCAAAGCGACGAUCCGUAGCUGGUCUGAGAGGAUGAUCCGCCACACUGGAACUGAGACACGGCCCAGACUCCUACGGGAAGCAGCAGUGGGGAAUCUUACGCGAUGGACGAAAGCCUGAUACAGCAAUACCGCGUGAGUGAUGAAGGACUUCGGCUUGUAAAGCGCUGUUGUUGGGAAAGAAGAAAAGCUCGUUUACCCGGGGUUGUUCUGACGGUACCGAAAGAAUAAGCACCGGCUAACUCCGUG